AGGGUUUGAUCCUGGCUCAGGAUAAACGCUAGCGGUGUGCUUUAUGCGUGCAAGUCGAACGGUCUCGAUUUAUCGGGAUAGUGGCGAACGGGUGAGUAACACGUAAGUAAUCUGCCCCUAAGUAAGGGAUAACUUUGAGAAAUCAGAGCUAAUACCAUAUGUGGUGGUGGAGGUAAGGCUCCAUCACUAAAGCCUUCGGGUGCUUGGGGAGGGGCUUGCGUCCGAUUAGCUAGUUGGUAAGGUAACGGCCUACCAAGGCAACGAUCGGUAGCUGGUUUGAGAGGACGGCCAGCCACAUUGGGACUGAGACACGGCCCAGACUCCUACGGGAGGCAGCAGCAAGGAAUAUUGUGCAAUGGACGAAAGUCUGACACAGCGACGCCGCGUGGGGGAUGAAGGCCUUCGGGUCGUAAACCCCUUUUCCCGGGGAAGAAAAAUGACGGUACCUGGGGAAUAAGUCUUGGCUAACUACGUGCCAGCAGCCGCGGUAAUACGUAGAAGGCGAGCGUUAUCCGGAUUUAUUGGGCGUAAAGCGGGUGUAGGCGGUUCUUCAGGUCGGAUGUAAAAUCUCCCGGCUCAACUGGGAGAGACCAUUCGAUACUGUUGGGCUAGAGUGCAGCAGGGGGAGAUGGAAUUCCCGGUGUAGUGGUGAAAUGCGUAGAUAUCGGGAGGAACACCAGUGGCGAAGGCGGCCUCCUGGGCUGUUGCUGACGCUGACGCCCGAAAGCGUGGGGAGCAAACAGGAUUAGAUACCCUGGUAGUCCACGCUAUAAACUAUGGACACUAGGUAUAGGGAGUAUCGACCCUCUCUGUGCCGAAGCUAACGCUUUAAGUGUCCCGCCUGGAACUACGGCCGCAAGGCUAAAACUCAAAGGAAUUGACGGGGCCCGCACAGCAGCGAGCGUGUGUUUAUUCGAUGCACACGAGACUUACCAGGCUUGACAUGCACGUGUAGGACGAAAGGGGACGACCCUUCGGGAGGUGCACAGUGCUGCAUGCUGUCGUCAGCUCUGCCGGGAGUGUUGGUAAUUCCCGCAACGAGCCCACCCUCCGUCCUAGUUAACUUUUCUAGCGAACUGC
Molecule: ribosomal RNA, 1080 nt
Filed under: uncultured bacterium
Lineage: Bacteria
Description: bacterial SSU rRNA
Rfam family: Bacterial small subunit ribosomal RNA
Source: RNAcentral